GAAAUGCGAUAAGUAAUGUGAAUUGCAGAAUUCAGUGAAUCAUCGAAUCUUUGAACGCACAUUGCGCCCGCCAGUAUUCUGGCGGGCAUGCCUGUUCGAGCGUCAUUACAACCCUCAGGCCCCCGGGCCUGGCGUUGGGGAUCGGCGGAAGCCCCCUGCGGGCACAACGCCGUCCCCCAAAUACAGUGGCGGUCCCGCCGCAGCUUCCAUUGCGUAGUAGCUAACACCUCGCAACUGGAGAGCGGCGCGGCCACGCCGUAAAACACCCAACUUCUGAAUGUUUACCUCGAAUCAGGUAGGAAUACCCGCUGAACUUAAGC
This 320-nucleotide unclassified non-coding RNA is filed under the name plant metagenome. RNAcentral's name for it is "partial contains 5.8S ribosomal RNA, internal transcribed spacer 2, and large subunit ribosomal RNA". The stretch from base 1 to 105 matches the Rfam family "5.8S ribosomal RNA", at positions 50 to 154 of the family's 154-position model. The record is from RNAcentral.